This 253-nucleotide ribosomal RNA is filed under the name uncultured bacterium. RNAcentral describes it as "partial 16S ribosomal RNA". It matches the Rfam family "Bacterial small subunit ribosomal RNA", at positions 524 to 776 of the family's 1533-position model. The record is from RNAcentral.
UACAGAGGUCUCAAGCGUUGUUCGGAUUCAUUGGGCGUAAAGGGUGCGUAGGUGGUGGGGUAAGUCGGAUGUGAAAUCCCGGGGCUCAACCCCGGAACUGCAUUCGAUACUGCCUUGCUCGAGUACUGGAGAGGAGACUGGAAUUUACGGUGUAGCAGUGAAAUGCGUAGAUAUCGUAAGGAAGACCAGUGGCGAAGGCGGCUCACUGGCCCGGUACUGACGCUGAGGCACGAAAGCGUGGGGAGCAAACAGG